AGCAGAGAGAUGAAGAAUGUACCUGAAAUUUAAAACUUCUGUUGAUAACAGAAUCGAAGGUGAUUACACAGUUUCGACUCCAAAAUUCCCACAAGAACUCAACGGCAAAUCAAAACUCGAAUAACAGCAAACCAGUAGCAGUCUAGUAGAAAUAAGAGGUUCGAACAGCGACCAACUCGAACUUCUUUUGAUGCUAGAAUCGAAGGUGAUUACACAGUUUCGACUCCAAAAUUCCCACAAGAACUCAAUGGCAAAUCAAAACUCGAAGUACAGCAAACCAGCAAAUGAGAGGAGAGGGAAUCUUUGGUGUCGGAAACCGUUAUCUGCGAUAAGAGGAGAGAUAGAGGAACGCGUGGGUUAGGGAUUGAUAUCUACUCGCGUGAAUUUUGAGCUGAAAUGGGGGCUUGGUUCGUGGUACACAGUAUCGCGUUUGAGAGAUUUAGGGGUUUUCGUGAUUUUUUGGGUCUCUGAAGACUGCUG
Molecule: long non-coding RNA, 480 nt
Filed under: Nicotiana benthamiana
Lineage: Eukaryota; Viridiplantae; Streptophyta; Magnoliopsida; Solanales; Solanaceae
Description: long non-coding RNA (NBEN_LNC005192)
Source: RNAcentral